AGAUAACAGACAGUAACAGCAGUAUACUGUAGGUAGGGUUAAAGGAUAGAUAAUAGACAGUAGCAGCAGUAUACUGUAGGUAGGGGUAAAGGAUAGAUAAUAGACAGUAGCAGCAGUAUACUGUAGUUAGGGGUAAAGGAUAGAUAAUAGACAGUAGCAGUAUACUGUAGGUAGGGGUAAAGGAUAGAUAAUAGACAGUAACAGCAGUAUACUGUAGGUAGGGGUAAAGGAUAGAUAAUAGACAGUAGCAGCAGUAUACAGUAGGUAGGGGUAAAGGAUAGAUAACAGACAGUAGCAGCAGUAUACUGUAGGUAGGGGUAAAGUGAUUAGACAACAGGAUAGAUAAUAGACAGUAACAGCAGAGUAUGUGAUGAGUCAAAAGAGUCAAUGCAGGUAGACCGGGUAGCGAUAGAACCUUCAAAAAAGGUUCUCUAUUGCAGCAAAAAGGGAUCUUCUAUGGUUACAAGCCCUUUAGAACCCUUAUUUAGAACUAUAUAGAACCAUUUG
RNAcentral lists this long non-coding RNA (507 nucleotides) under Salmo salar (Atlantic salmon). RNAcentral's name for it is "lncRNA (ENSSSAG00000104557.1)". The record is from RNAcentral. Lineage: Eukaryota; Metazoa; Chordata; Actinopteri; Salmoniformes; Salmonidae.